RNAcentral lists this ribosomal RNA (429 nucleotides) under bacterium. Its description in RNAcentral is "partial 16S ribosomal RNA". It matches the Rfam family "Bacterial small subunit ribosomal RNA", at positions 355 to 776 of the family's 1533-position model. The record is from RNAcentral.
UAGGGAAUCUUCGGCAAUGGGGGCAACCCUGACCGAGCAACGCCGCGUGAGUGAAGAAGGUUUUCGGAUCGUAAAGCUCUGUUGUAAGAGAAGAACGUGUGUGAGAGUGGAAAGUUCACACAGUGACGGUAACUUACCAGAAAGGGACGGCUAACUACGUGCCAGCAGCCGCGGUAAUACGUAGGUCCCGAGCGUUGUCCGGAUUUAUUGGGCGUAAAGCGAGCGCAGGCGGUUUAAUAAGUCUGAAGUUAAAGGCAGUGGCUUAACCAUUGUUCGCUUUGGAAACUGUUAAACUUGAGUGCAGAAGGGGAGAGUGGAAUUCCAUGUGUAGCGGUGAAAUGCGUAGAUAUAUGGAGGAACACCGGUGGCGAAAGCGGCUCUCUGGUCUGCAACUGACGCUGAGGCUCGAAAGCGUGGGGAGCAAACAGG